AACAGUUGGAAACGACUGCUAAUACCUCAUACUCCUUCUUACUUAAUGUAAGUCGGGAAAUGUUUUUUCGCCAAGGGAUCGGGCUAUAUGGUAUCAGCUUGUUGGUGAGGUAAUGGCUCACCAAGGCUAUGACGCCUAGCUGGUCUGAGAGGAUGAUCAGCCACACUGGAACUGAGACACGGUCCAGACUCCUACGGGAGGCAGCAGUGGGGAAUAUUGCACAAUGGGGGAAACCCUGAUGCAGCAACGCCGCGUGGAGGAUGACGCAUUUCGGUGUGUAAACUCCUUUUAUAUAGGAAGAUAAUGACGGUACUAUAUGAAUAAGCACCGGCUAACUCCGUGCCAGCAGCCGCGGUAAUACGGAGGGUGCAAGCGUUACUCGGAAUCACUGGGCGUAAAGCGCGCGCAGGCGGUUUGAUAAGUUGGAUGUGAAAGCCUACGGCUCAACCGUAGAACUGCAUCCAAAACUGUCAAACUAGAGUCUGGGAGGGGAAGAUGGAAUUAGUUGUGUAGGGGUAAAAUCCGUAGAGAUAACUAGGAAUACCAAAAAGCGAAGGCGAUCUUCUGGAACAGUACUGACGCUGAGGCGCGAAAGCGUGGGGAGCAAACAGGAUUAGAUACCCUGAUAGUCCACGCCCUAAACGAUGAAUGCUAGUCGUCGGGUAGCUAGUCUAUUCGGUGAUGCAGCUAACGCAUUAAACAUUCCGCCUGGGGAGUACGGUCGCAAGAUUAAAACUCAAAGGAAUAGACGGGGACCCGCACAAGUGGUGGAGCAUGUGGUUUAAUUCGAAGAUACGCGAAGAACCUUACCUAGCCUUGACAUUGAUAGAAUGAUUUAGAGAUAAGUCAGUGCCCUUUUGGGAGCUUGAAAACAGGUGCUGCACGGCUGUCGUCAGCUCGUGUCGUGAGAUGUUGGGUUAAGUCCCGCAACGAGCGCAACCCUCGUCACUAGUUACUAACGGUUCGGCCGAGGACUCUAGUGAGACUGCCUUCGCAAGGAGGAGGAAGGUGAGGACGACGUCAAGUCAUCAUGGCCCUUACGGCUAGGGCGACACACGUGCUACAAUGGGCAGGACAAUGAGACGCAAUACCGCGAGGUGGAGCAAAUCUAUAAACCUGCUCUCAGUUCGGAUUGUACUCUGCAACUCGAGUGCAUGAAGCUGGAAUCACUAGUAAUCGUAGAUCAGCCAUGCUACGGUGAAUACGUUCCCGGGUCUUGUACUCACCGCCCGUCACACCAUGGGAGUUGAUUUCACCCGA
This 1260-nucleotide ribosomal RNA is filed under the name uncultured Sulfurovum sp. Its description in RNAcentral is "bacterial SSU rRNA". It matches the Rfam family "Bacterial small subunit ribosomal RNA", at positions 145 to 1424 of the family's 1533-position model. Lineage: Bacteria; Pseudomonadati; Campylobacterota; Epsilonproteobacteria; Campylobacterales; Sulfurovaceae. The record is from RNAcentral.